This 253-nucleotide ribosomal RNA is filed under the name uncultured bacterium. RNAcentral describes it as "partial 16S ribosomal RNA". It matches the Rfam family "Bacterial small subunit ribosomal RNA", at positions 524 to 776 of the family's 1533-position model. The record is from RNAcentral.
UACGUAGGGUGCGAGCGUUAAUCGGAAUUACUGGGCGUAAAGUGUGCGCAGGCGGCCGAGCAAGUCGAGUGUGAAAGCCCCGAGCUUAACUUGGGAACUGCGCUCGAAACUACUUGGCUAGAGUGUGGCAGAGGGAGGUGGAAUUCCACGUGUAGCGGUGAAAUGCGUAGAGAUGUGGAGGAACACCGAUGGCGAAGGCAGCCUCCUGGGCCAACACUGACGCUCAUGCACGAAAGCGUGGGGAGAAAACAGG